Eucalyptus grandis is the source of this 666-nucleotide long non-coding RNA. RefSeq lists it as uncharacterized. Lineage: Eukaryota; Viridiplantae; Streptophyta; Magnoliopsida; Myrtales; Myrtaceae. The transcript is spliced from 6 exons. The record is from RefSeq and is a predicted model, not a curated record.
GGGGUUGCCAUUUUUCAAGGUGCGAUGGAAAUUGAGGGGGCUCUUCCUGAAUAUGAAAUGAUUUCUAUCCUUCCAUAUGCACCAUAAUACAUUUGCAAUCAAUUCAAAAUUAUGCCUGGCUCAUUCCAAAGUUGUGUUACCCAAGGGCAAAGAAGAAGUGUAUGUUCGAUCGUCUCUGGUUCGAUGCCGCAUAAUGGACAUAUAGGUGCAGGUGCUACCCUUCUUCUGUACAGAUUAUCCAAAGUAGCAAGAGGGGACUCCGGCACCAUUUCUGGAUCUUCAAGGAGUUCAACUUGUUUCCCGUAAAACACUUUGCCAUAAGGGCUGAGAUCCCUGACUUCAGCGCGCAACCAAUUUCCGAAAUUACCUGGUACUAUCUCCUUUUCCUUCCAACUUCACCUCAAUAAACUGUGCCAAUCUUGGAGGCUAUAUCUUGGACAAUCUCCUUUGUCACUCGACCAAACGGGAGUCCAUGGAAUUUAACCCAAAAGGCACAGUGAUCAAAAUCGUAACAAAUUUCUGGGAUAUCCGGAUCGCAUUGUUGGAGAACAAGGAGGUUGCUUGCAAAAGACCACGGGGCGGAGUCUAACACCCUCUGUUUUUCAGCUUCAGACUUGAAGGAGAAGGAGAAAAAUCCUAGUUCAAGCGAGAAAUUCCUUGUUGAAC